AUUGAACGCUGGCGGCAUGCUUUACACAUGCAAGUCGAACGGCAGCGCGGGCUUCGGCCUGGAGGCGAGUGGCGAACGGGUGAGUAAUACAUCGGAACGUGCCCAGUAGUGGGGGAUAGCUCGGCGAAAGCCGGAUUAAUACCGCAUACGACCUGAGGGUGAAAGCGGGGGAUCUUCGGACCUCGCGCUAUUGGGGCGGCCGAUGGCAGAUUAGCUAGUUGGUGGGGUAAAGGCCUACCAAGGCGACGAUCUGUAGCUGGUCUGAGAGGACGACCAGCCACACUGGGACUGAGACACGGCCCAGACUCCUACGGGAGGCAGCAGUGGGGAAUUUUGGACAAUGGGCGAAAGCCUGAUCCAGCAAUGCCGCGUGUGUGAUGAAGGCCUUCGGGUUGUAAAGCACUUUUGGCGGGAACGAAAAGGACUGUGCCAAUACCACGGUUCGAUGACGGUACCCGCAGAAUAAGCACCGGCUAACUACGUG
RNAcentral lists this ribosomal RNA (484 nucleotides) under uncultured bacterium. RNAcentral's name for it is "partial 16S ribosomal RNA". It matches the Rfam family "Bacterial small subunit ribosomal RNA", at positions 29 to 507 of the family's 1533-position model. The record is from RNAcentral.